This 420-nucleotide ribosomal RNA is filed under the name uncultured microorganism. Its description in RNAcentral is "bacterial SSU rRNA". It matches the Rfam family "Bacterial small subunit ribosomal RNA", at positions 9 to 429 of the family's 1533-position model. The record is from RNAcentral.
GAGUUUGAUCGUGGCUCAGAUUGAACGCUGGCGGCAUGCCUUACACAUGCAAGUCGAACGGCAGCAUGAUCUAGCUCGCUAGAUUGAUGGCGAGUGGCGAACGGGUGAGUAAUACAUCGGAACGUGCCCUGUAGUGGGGGAUAACUAGUCGAAAGAUUAGCUAAUACCGCAUACGACCUGAGGGUGAAAGUGGGGGACCGCAAGGCCUCAUGCUAUAGGAGCGGCCGAUGUCUGAUUAGCUAGUUGGUGGGGUAAAGGCCCACCAAGGCGACGAUCAGUAGCUGGUCUGAGAGGACGAUCAGCCACACUGGGACUGAGACACGGCCCAGACUCCUACGGGAGGCAGCAGUGGGGAAUUUUGGACAAUGGGCGAAAGCCUGAUCCAGCAAUGCCGCGUGUGUGAAGAAGGCCUGGUGUAAG